CCUACGGGAGGCAGCAGUGGGGAAUAUUGCACAAUGGGCGGAAGCCUGAUGCAGAGACGCCGCGUGAGGGAUGAAGGCCUUCGGGUUGUAAACCUCUUUCAGCAGGGACGAAGCGUGAGUGACGGUACCUGCAGAAGAAGCACCGGCUAACUACGUGCCAGCAGCCGCGGUAAUACGUAGGGUGCGAGCGUUGUCCGGAAUUACUGGGCGUAAAGAGUUCGUAGGCGGUUUGUCGAGUCGUUUGUGAAAACCCGGGGCUCAACUUCGGGCUUGCAGGCGAUACGGGCAGACUUGAGUGUUUCAGGGGAGACUGGAAUUCCUGGUGUAGCGGUGAAAUGCGCAGAUAUCAGGAGGAACACCGGUGGCGAAGGCGGGUCUCUGGGAAACAACUGACGCUGAGGAACGAAAGCGUGGGUAGCAAACAGGAUUAGAUACCCUGGUAGUCCACGCCGUAAACGGUGGGCGCUAGGUGUGGGUUCCUUCCACGGGAUCUGUGCCGUAGCUAACGCA
Molecule: ribosomal RNA, 510 nt
Filed under: Rhodococcus sp. AP17Hx
Lineage: Bacteria; Bacillati; Actinomycetota; Actinomycetes; Mycobacteriales; Nocardiaceae
Description: bacterial SSU rRNA
Rfam family: Bacterial small subunit ribosomal RNA
Source: RNAcentral